AUAUUGUAAGAGUAGGGAAGUGUGUGAGCCAUGCGUCAAGAAAAGCCGCUAUUGUUUUACUUAAGCCCGUACCGUAAACCGACACAGGUGGAUGAGGAGAGAAUCCUAAGGCCGACGGGAGAAGCAUUGUUAAGGAACUCGGCAAAAUGACUCCGUAACUUCGGGAGAAGGAGUGCCAGCGAGAGCUGGCCGCAGAGAAUUGGCCCAAGCAACUGUUUAGCAAAAACACAGGUCUAUGCAAAACCGUAAGGUGAAGUAUAUGGGCUGACGCCUGCCCGGUGCUGGAAGGUUAAGAGGAGAGGUUAGCGGUAACGCGAAGCUUUGAAUUUAAGCCCCAGUAAACGGCGGCCGUAACAAUAACGGUCCUAAGGUAGCGAAAUUCCUUGUCGGGUAAGUUCCGACCCGCACGAAAGGCGUAAUGAUUUGGGCACUGUCUCAACAAUGCACCCGGUGAAAUUGAAAUACCAGUGAAGAUGCUGGUUACCUGCGCCAGGACGGAAAGACCCCAUGGAGCUUUACUCCAGCUUGAUACUGGGAUUCGGUAUUGCAUGUACAGGAUAGGUGGGAGGCUAGGAAGUGAUAACGCCAGUUGUCACGGAGCCGCUGUUGGGAUACCACCCUUGCAGUAUUGGAUUUCUAACCAGCGACCAUGAACUGGUCGGGGGACAAUGUCAGGUGGGGAGUUUGACUGGGGCGGUCGCCUCCGAAAGGGUAUCGGAGGCGCUCAAAGGUUCCCUCAGAAUGGACGGAAACCAUUCGAAGAGUGCAAAGGCAGAAGGGAGCUUGACUGCGACACCGACGGGUGGAGCAGGUACGAAAGUAGGACUUAGUGAUCCGGUGGUAUAAAGUGGGAUUGCCAUCGCUCAACGGAUAAAAGCUACCCUGGGAUAACAGGCUUAUCACUCCCAAGAGUUCACAUCGACGGAGUGGUUUGGCACCUGAUGUCGGCUCAUCGCAUCCUGGGGCUGAAGUAGGUCCCAAGGGUUGGGCUGUUCGCCCAUUAAAGCGGUACGCGAGCUGGGUUCAGAACGUCGUGAGACAGUUCGGUCCCUAUCCGGCGUGGGCGUAGGAUAUUUGAGAGGAGCUGUCCUUAGUACGAGAGGACCGGGAUGGACUGGCCGCUGGUGUAUCUGUUGCAUACCAAAUGCAUGGCAGAGUAGCCAAGCCGGGACGGGAUAAACGCUGAAGGCAUCUAAGCGUGAAGCCCCCCUCAAGAUGAGAUAUCCCUACGUAAGUAGUAAGACCCCUUGAAGACGACAAGGUAGAUAGGUCAGAGGUGGAAGUACAGUAAUGUAUGGAGCUGACUGAUACUAAUCGGUCGAGGGCAUGACCG
This 1333-nucleotide ribosomal RNA is filed under the name metagenome. RNAcentral describes it as "bacterial LSU rRNA". It matches the Rfam family "Bacterial large subunit ribosomal RNA", at positions 1573 to 2925 of the family's 2925-position model. The record is from RNAcentral.